RNAcentral lists this ribosomal RNA (254 nucleotides) under uncultured bacterium. RNAcentral's name for it is "partial 16S ribosomal RNA". It matches the Rfam family "Bacterial small subunit ribosomal RNA", at positions 524 to 776 of the family's 1533-position model. The record is from RNAcentral.
UACAGAGGGUGCGAGCGUUAAUCGGAAUUACUGGGCGUAAAGCGCGUGUAGGCGGCCCUGCAAGUCGGAUGUGAAAUCCCACGGCUCAACCGUGGAAGUGCAUUCGAAACUGCAGGGCUAGAGUCCUGGAGAGGAAGGUGGAAUGCUUGGUGUAGAGGUGAAAUUCGUAGAUAUCAAGCGGAACACCGGUGGCGAAGGCGGCGACCUGGACCGAUUACUGACGCUGAGGCGCGAAAGCUAGGGGAGCAAACGGG